UAGGAUAUAGCUUAGUGACAGAGUACUUACCUAGCAAGUACAGUGUCCUGGGUUUGAAUCCCAGUAUCAAAA
This 72-nucleotide transfer RNA is filed under the name Dipodomys ordii (Ord's kangaroo rat). It matches the Rfam family "tRNA". From Rfam's summary of the family: Transfer RNA (tRNA) molecules are approximately 80 nucleotides in length. Lineage: Eukaryota; Metazoa; Chordata; Mammalia; Rodentia; Heteromyidae. The record is from Rfam by way of RNAcentral.